Molecule: long non-coding RNA, 1386 nt
Filed under: Lynx canadensis (Canada lynx)
Lineage: Eukaryota; Metazoa; Chordata; Mammalia; Carnivora; Felidae
Description: lncRNA (ENSLCNG00005003379.1)
Source: RNAcentral
AUGUUUGUCUUUGGGCGGAGGGGAGGGCGGCGGACUGGCCUGGGCCCGGUGCGGCCCCGGUGCGGGUCGGCGCGGCGGCGGCGGCGGCGGCGGCGGCGGCGGCGGGGGUUGGCGGCGGUGCUGACAGCGGCUGCGGAGGCGGCGGCGGCGGCGGCGGCGGCCCUCUUCGCGCUGCGCCCCUUGCCUUCACUGCACGCUCGUCUGCAGUCCGUGGUGCGGCGGCGGCGUGUCGGCGCUCACGGUGCCCACCUGCGAGUAGACGUCGUCGGGCGUCUGCUGUUGGAUCCCGGGCGGCGUCAUGCGCUUCUCCUUUUGGCGCCGGUUGCAGAACCAGACCCGCACCACCUCCUUCUCCAGCUGCAGGCUGUCGGCCAGGUUGGUGAUCUCCUGCGCGGAGGGCUUGGGGCACUUGAGGAAGUGGCUCUCGAGCGCGCCCUUGACGCUCACCUCUAUGGAGGUCCGCUUCUUGCGCUUGCGGCCCUGCGCCGCGAUCUUGUCGAUGCUCGUGGGGCUGCCGGUGCUCGAGUCCGCCUCCUCCAGCCACUUGUUCAGCAGCGGCUUGAGCUUGCACAUGUUCUUGAAGCUCAGCUGCAGGGCCUCGAAGCGGCAGAUGGUGGUUUGCGAGAACACGUUGCCGUACAGCGUGCCCAGAGCCAGCCCCACGUCGGCCUGCGUGAAGCCGAGUUUAAUGCGCCGCUGCUUGAACUGCUUGGCGAACUGCUCCAGGUCGUCCGACGUCGGUGUGUCCUCGUCCGAGUGCGGGUCGUGACUGUUGAGCCCGGGCCCCGCGCCGCCGCCGCCGUGGUGCGGAGGCCCCUGCGCGUGGUGCGGGUGCGGCGGGUGCGGGUGCCCGUGGUGGUGGUGGUGGUGGUGGUGCUCGGCCAGCUCGGGCGUGUCCCCGCGCACCAGCCCCGGGUGCACCAGGCUCUGGGCGCCGCCGCCCGCGCCGCCGCCGCCGCCGCCCGGGCCCGGGGGCGCGCUCAGCAUGCCGUUCACCGUGAAGCCCCCGGGCUGCGAGUAGAGCAGACUCUGCGGCGGCGGCUGCUGGCCCCCGGCCAUGGACGGGAGGUGUGCGGCGGCUGCGGCGGCGGCGGCGGCGGCGGCUGCGGCGGCGGCGGCCCCCCAGCCCCCCGGGUGGCCCUGGUGCGGGGGCGGCGGCGGGGGCCCGAGGUGCGGCGGCCCGCGGUGGUGCAGCGCGGUGCCCGCGUGCAGGUCGUCGCGACCGGAGCCGCCCUUUACGUCGGGGCCCUGCGGCGGCGGCGGCGGCGGCGGCUGCGGCGGUUGCUGGGGGCUGCCGGCCAUGCCCACGGCGCUGCCGGACCACGGCGAGCUGGCCUCCACGGCGGCGGCGGCGGCGGCGGCGGCGGCGGCGGCGGCGUGGGGUAG